This 468-nucleotide ribosomal RNA is filed under the name uncultured bacterium. RNAcentral's name for it is "partial 16S ribosomal RNA". It matches the Rfam family "Bacterial small subunit ribosomal RNA", at positions 28 to 507 of the family's 1533-position model. The record is from RNAcentral.
GACGAACGCUGGCGGCGUGCUUAACACAUGCAAGUCGAACGGAAAGGCCCUGCUUUUGUGGGGUGCUCGAGUGGCGAACGGGUGAGUAACACGUGAGUAACCUGCCCUUGACUUUGGUAUAACUUCAGGAAACUGGGGCUAAUACCGGAUAGGAGCUCCUGCUGCAUGGUGGGGGUUGGAAAGUUUCGGCGGUUGGGGAUGGACUCGCGGCUUAUCAGCUUGUUGGUGGGGUAGUGGCUUACCAAGGCUUUGACGGGUAGCCGGCCUGAGAGGGUGACCGGCCACAUUGGAACUGAGAUGCGGCCCAGACUCCUACGGGGGGGAACGGUGAGGAAUAUUGCGCAAUGGGCGGAGUCCGGAUGCAGCAACGCCGCGUGCGGGAUGACGGCCUUCGGGUUUUAGACCACUUUCACCUGUGACGAAGCGUGAGUGACGGUAAUGGGUAAAGAAGCACCGGCUAACUACGUG